UAGAGUUUGAUCCUGGCUCAGGAUGAACGCUAGCGGGAGGCCUAACACAUGCAAGCCGAGCGGUAUUGUUUCUUCGGAAAUGAGAGAGCGGCGUACGGGUGCGUAACACGUGUGCAACCUGCCUUUAUCUGGGGGAUAGCCUUUCGAAAGGAAGAUUAAUACUCCAUAAUAUAUUGAACGGCAUCGUUUAAUAUUGAAAGCUCCGGCGGAUAGAGAUGGGCACGCGCAAGAUUAGCUAGUUGGUGAGGUAACGGCUCACUAAGGCGAUGAUCUUUAGGGGGCCUGAGAGGGUGAUCCCCCACACUGGUACUGAGACACGGACCAGACUCCUACGGGAGGCAGCAGUGAGGAAUAUUGGUCAAUGGGUGCAAGCCUGAACCAGCCAUCCCGCGUGAAGGACGACUGCCCUAUGGGUUGUAAACUUCUUUUGUAUAGGGAUAAACCUACCCUCGUGAGGGUAGCUGAAGGUACUAUACGAAUAAGCACCGGCUAACUCCGUGCAGCAGCCGCGGUAAUACGGAGGGUGCAAGCGUUAUCCGGAUUUAUUGGGGUUUAAAGGGUCCGUAAGGCGGACUUAUAAGUCAGUGGUGAAAUCCUGUCGCUUAACGAUAGA
This 613-nucleotide ribosomal RNA is filed under the name uncultured bacterium. Its description in RNAcentral is "bacterial SSU rRNA". It matches the Rfam family "Bacterial small subunit ribosomal RNA", at positions 1 to 619 of the family's 1533-position model. The record is from RNAcentral.